UGGGGAAUAUUGCACAAUGGGCGCAAGCCUGAUGCAGCCAUGCCGCGUGUAUGAAGAAGGCCUUCGGGUUGUAAAGUACUUUCAGCGGGGAGGAAGGGAGUAAAGUUAAUACCUUUGCUCAUUGACGUUACCCGCAGAAGAAGCACCGGCUAACUCCGUGCCAGCAGCCGCGGUAAUACGGAGGGUGCAAGCGUUAAUCGGAAUUACUGGGCGUAAAGCGCACGCAGGCGGUUUGUUAAGUCAGAUGUGAAAUCCCCGGGCUCAACCUGGGAACUGCAUCUGUUACUGACAAGCUUGAGUCUCGUAGAGGGGGGUAGAAUUCCAGGUGUAGCGGUGAAAUGCGUAGAGAUCUGGAGGAAUACCGGUGGCGAAGGCGGCCCCCUGGACAAAGACUGACGCUCAGGUGCGAAAGCGUGGGGAGCAAACAGG
RNAcentral lists this ribosomal RNA (429 nucleotides) under Chloroflexota bacterium. RNAcentral describes it as "Chloroflexi bacterium partial 16S ribosomal RNA". It matches the Rfam family "Bacterial small subunit ribosomal RNA", at positions 355 to 776 of the family's 1533-position model. Lineage: Bacteria; Bacillati; Chloroflexota. The record is from RNAcentral.